CCUACGGGGAGCAGCAGUGAGGAAUAUUGGUCAAUGGACGAGAGUCUGAACCAGCCAAGUAGCGUGAAGGAUGACUGCCCUAUGGGUUGUAAACUUCUUUUAUAUGGGAAUAAAAUGUUCCACGUGUGGGAUUUUGUAUGUACCAUAUGAAUAAGGAUCGGCUAACUCCGUGCCAGCAGCCGCGGUAAUACGGAGGAUCCGAGCGUUAUCCGGAUUUAUUGGGUUUAAAGGGAGCGUAGGUGGUUUGUUAAGUCAGUUGUGAAAGUUUGCGGCUCAACCGUAAAAUUGCAGUUGAAACUGGCAGUCUUGAGUACAGUAGAGGUGGGCGGAAUUCGUGGUGUAGCGGUGAAAUGCUUAGAUAUCACGAAGAACUCCGAUUGCGAAGGCAGUUCACUGGACUGCAACUGACACUGAGGCUCGAAAGUGUGGGUAUCAAACAGGAUUAGAUACCCUUGUAGUC
This 460-nucleotide ribosomal RNA is filed under the name uncultured bacterium. RNAcentral's name for it is "partial 16S ribosomal RNA". It matches the Rfam family "Bacterial small subunit ribosomal RNA", at positions 338 to 795 of the family's 1533-position model. The record is from RNAcentral.